UACGUAGGGUGCGAGCGUUGUCCGGAUUUAUUGGGCGUAAAGGGCUCGUAGGCGGCGUGUCGCGUCGGGAGUGAAAGCCCGCUGCUUAACGGCGGGUUGGCUUCCGGUACGGGCAUCGCUGGAGUGCGGCAGGGGAGACUGGAAUUCCUGGUGUAGCAGUGAAAUGCGUAGAUAUCAGGAGGAACACCGAUGGCGAAGGCAGGUCUCUGGGCUGACACUGACGCUCAUGCACGAAAGCGUGGGGAGCAAACAGG
Molecule: ribosomal RNA, 254 nt
Filed under: uncultured bacterium
Lineage: Bacteria
Description: partial 16S ribosomal RNA
Rfam family: Bacterial small subunit ribosomal RNA
Source: RNAcentral